GUACUCACUUUGGCAGCACAUAUACUAAAAUUGGAACAAUUCAUAGGGGUUAUUAGUAUGGCCCCUGUCCAAGAUGACCCUCAAAUUCAUGAAGUAUUCCACAUUUUA
This is a small nuclear RNA of Nannospalax galili (Upper Galilee mountains blind mole rat), 108 nucleotides long. The record is from Ensembl. NCBI's taxonomy places the organism in Eukaryota, Metazoa, Chordata, Mammalia, Rodentia, Spalacidae.